Non-coding RNA from Podarcis lilfordi (Lilford's wall lizard), 80 nucleotides. The record is from the annotation of a GenBank genome assembly. Lineage: Eukaryota; Metazoa; Chordata; Lepidosauria; Squamata; Lacertidae.
ACCACUGUAGCUCAGUGGUAGAGCAAUUGCCUUGCAUGCAGAAAGUUUCAGGUUCAAUCCCUGACAGCCCCAAGUAGGUC